AGCUAAUGCUGAUUUGAAUGUAAUUGGUCUAGCAUCUAGUAGUAACUAUCAGCAACUACACACACACAUAGAAAGAGUGAGAGAAAGAGAAAGAAAGAGAGCAGCAGCAGUUUUGAGGUUCAUGUAAGAAGAAUAGUGGCGAGGCAGAGAAGAGCAGGAGCAGCAGAAGUGACGCAGGGAAGAAGAAGAAGUAGUAGGCAGGAGAAGAAGGUGCAGCUGUAGCGCACAAGCAGCAGCAGCAAGAGGAGAAGCAGAACGGGAGCAGCAAGAGAGAGGUAGCAGUUUCGAGGAUUGAGAAGAGCAGCAGAGAUUGAGAACAGGGUCAACUGCGAGGAAAGGGAAGGGGAAGCUGCAGAGCGAUGGAGGAGUGGAGGAAAGAAGCAAGGGGCGGUGAUGGAAAAGAGAAGGAGCGGGGAGGAGCGCUCACGCGGAGGUUCAGAUGCCCGCGUCCUCGUGUCUGAUGGGACGCGCGACGGCGAAGUGGAGGGAUGGCGCUGGUGGAGUGGUGGAUGGAUGGCGCGGCGUGGCUGGGAUGGAUGGAUGGUGCGGCGGAUGGUGCUCGUGGCUGAGUGGAGGAGCAGCAGGCGCACCGCCAUGCCGGCCUGGCCGCGGCGGCGGCCGGUGGUGGAGAAGGAGGGGUGAGGGAGAGAGAUGAGAU
This 658-nucleotide ribosomal RNA is filed under the name Triticum aestivum (bread wheat). Its description in RNAcentral is "partial small subunit ribosomal RNA". The record is from RNAcentral. Lineage: Eukaryota; Viridiplantae; Streptophyta; Magnoliopsida; Poales; Poaceae.